This 254-nucleotide ribosomal RNA is filed under the name uncultured bacterium. RNAcentral describes it as "partial 16S ribosomal RNA". It matches the Rfam family "Bacterial small subunit ribosomal RNA", at positions 524 to 776 of the family's 1533-position model. The record is from RNAcentral.
UACGUAGGGGGCAAGCGUUGUCCGGAUUUAUUGGGCGUAAAGAGCGUGUAGGCGGCCAUACAGGUCAGCUGUGAAAACUCGAGGCUCAACCUCGAGACGUCGGUUGAAACCGUAUGGCUAGAGUCCGGAAGAGGAGAGUGGAAUUCCCGGUGUAGCGGUGAAAUGCGCAGAUAGUCAGGAAGAACACCCGUGGCUAAGGCGGCUCUCUAGUACGUGACUGACGCUGAGACGCGAAAGCGUGGGGAGCGAACAGG